Molecule: transfer RNA, 70 nt
Filed under: Marmota monax (woodchuck)
Lineage: Eukaryota; Metazoa; Chordata; Mammalia; Rodentia; Sciuridae
Description: tRNA.Ala
Source: RNAcentral
GGGCUGGGGCUCAGUGGUAGAGUUCUCACCUGGCAUGCGUGAGGCACUGGGUUCCAUUCUCAGCACCACA